RNAcentral lists this ribosomal RNA (256 nucleotides) under uncultured archaeon. Its description in RNAcentral is "partial 16S ribosomal RNA". It matches the Rfam family "Archaeal small subunit ribosomal RNA", at positions 748 to 1001 of the family's 1478-position model. The record is from RNAcentral.
CAGCCGUAAACUAUGCGCGUUAGGUGUACUGGUGACCACGAGUCACCGGGGUGCCGAAGGGAAACCGUGAAACGUGCCGCCUGGGAAGUACGGUCGCAAGGCUGAAACUUAAAGGGAAUUGGCGGGGGAGCACCACAACGGGUGGAGCCUGCGGUUUAAAUUGGACUCAACGCCGGAAAUCUCACCGGAUAGGACAGACAUAUGAUAGUCGGGCUGAAGACUCUACUUGAUGAUCUGAGAGGUGGUGCAUGGCGUC